Molecule: ribosomal RNA, 497 nt
Filed under: uncultured bacterium
Lineage: Bacteria
Description: partial 16S ribosomal RNA
Rfam family: Bacterial small subunit ribosomal RNA
Source: RNAcentral
GAUGAACGCUGGCGGCGUGCCUAAUACAUGCAAGUCGAGCGAACAGACGAGGAGCUUGCUCCUCUGACGUUAGCGGCGGACGGGUGCGUAACACGUGGAUAACCUACCUAUCAGACUGGGAUAACUUCGGGAAACCGGAGCUAAUACCGGAUAAUAUAUUGAACCGCAUGGUUCAAUAGUGAAAGACGGUUUUGCUGUCACUUAUAGAUGGAUCCGCGCCGCAUUAGCUAGUUGGUAAGGUAACGGCUUACCAAGGCCACGAUGCGUAGCCGACCUGAGAGGGUGAUCGGCCACUCUGGAACUGAGACACGGUCCAGACUCCUACGGGAGGCAGCAGUAGGGAAUCUUCCGCAAUGGGCGAAAGCCGGACGGAGCAACGCCGCGUGAGUGAUGAAGGUCUUCGGAUCGUAUAACUCUGUUAUUAGGGAAGAACAAAUGUGUAAGUAACUAUGCACGUCUUGACGGUACCUAAUCAGAAAGCCACGGCUAACUACGUG